CGAGCCGGGCGGACGGCCGCGUGAGGUCCCUUACGGGACUUCCCGAGGAACGUCCGGGCUCCACAGGGCAGGGUGGUGGCUAACGGCCACCCGGGGUGACCCGCGGGACAGUGCCACAGAAAACAGACCGCCGGGGACCUCGGUCCUCGGUAAGGGUGAAACGGUGGUGUAAGAGACCACCAGUGCCCAGGGUGACCUGGGCAGCUAGGUAAACCCCACCCGGAGCAAGGUCAAAAGGAGCGCGGUGAAACGCGCUCUGCGCGGACGUUCGAGGGCUGCCCGCCCGAGUCCGCGGGUAGACCGCACGAGGCCGGCGGCAACGCCGGCCCUAGAUGGAUGGCCGUCACCGGAGGGCCCGCGAGGACCCCCCGGAACAGAACCCGGCGUACAGCCCGACUCGUCUG
This 404-nucleotide RNase P RNA is filed under the name Streptomyces sp. SID5998. Its description in RNAcentral is "RNase P RNA component class A". It matches the Rfam family "Bacterial RNase P class A". From Rfam's summary of the family: Ribonuclease P (RNase P) is a ubiquitous endoribonuclease, found in archaea, bacteria and eukarya as well as chloroplasts and mitochondria. The record is from RNAcentral. RNAcentral also lists the same sequence under 1 other name. Lineage: Bacteria; Bacillati; Actinomycetota; Actinomycetes; Kitasatosporales; Streptomycetaceae.